AUCAGCAACAAUUACUUUGGCCUAUUCUUUGGGUUUUUAGCCAUGCUUGUCGGAUUAUCCUUUCAUGCAAAUAAACUGGAACAAGUCUGUGCGAACGACAGGAAUGUGUAUGUGUGUGUUUGUGAGUGAGUGUGCAAUAGACAAUUUUGACAAAGUUGGCAACAAAUUAAUUUGAAUGAAAUGUGUGAAAUAUUUUAAGCUGACAAAUGUACAUAAAAAAGAAAGAAAAAAAUUGCAGAAUGUCGAAUUGAAUUUUGUGUCAAUUGUCAUUGGAUUUUCAUAAAUAUUGAAAUUUAUCGCCUUAAACGGAUUACGAGGACGUCAAUGGGAAAUUUCCGGAAGCUGAAAUAUUGUUCAGAUCUGGUACCAAACAUUUUCAUAUAUAUUUAAAAUGUGCGCGAUAAAAAUAUAAAAUAUAUGUGGAAAUCAAAUUGAGGGCAGAAGGUUACCAAGAAGCAGAAACAUAAUUCGAAACAUAUUCAAAUCAUCACUACGAAAAUAAAUCUGCAAUAUACUAUUCACAGGAAAUGGGCGAAUUCUCACAUCACUAAUGCCUUUGGUGGUAAUCAACAAAUGAAGUACGUGUUCUUGGUAAAAGCAUUUGCCAGAAUUUAAUAACCAUUUUACAUGUAUUGUCGCCCGGGCAUGAUAAACACAAGUAUUUCCCUUAGAUGUUCAGUGGAGCACUUCAAAUGUAGAUGGGAAUCAUGUAUUUGGUGUCAAUGUCACUAAUUCAAUUACGCGUUCAUUGGACAAGACGAGGGUCAUUGAUUUUUGAAUGUUGCUGUUGUUGUAGUCGUUGAUGGAGCCCCUUUCCAUUACAGCUCACACAAGGUUUUGCAGGUAUUUCAAUCAAUUGCAAGUCUUUGUCUUGUGUCUAAAAAUAGAUAACGUUCAGAUACGAAAUAAUAAUUUGAAAGCAGCUGUAUGAAAUUUUAAAGAUAAUAACGCCUUAAAAUAUGCGUCAUAAAUAAUUAUUAUGAAUUUCAUUAGAACUUUGAUGUGCUGUUGCUAUUUCUUGUAAUGAAAAUGAAAAUAAACGAAUUAAAAUCCAGUGCCAUUGACUUUUCCGAACAAAAGAUA
This is a long non-coding RNA of Musca domestica (house fly), 1083 nucleotides long. RefSeq lists it as uncharacterized. The record is from RefSeq and is a predicted model, not a curated record. Lineage: Eukaryota; Metazoa; Arthropoda; Insecta; Diptera; Muscidae. The transcript is spliced from 3 exons.